RNAcentral lists this ribosomal RNA (1880 nucleotides) under Salmonella enterica subsp. enterica serovar Typhimurium. RNAcentral's name for it is "partial 23S ribosomal RNA". It matches the Rfam family "Bacterial large subunit ribosomal RNA", at positions 157 to 1874 of the family's 2925-position model. The record is from RNAcentral. Lineage: Bacteria; Pseudomonadati; Pseudomonadota; Gammaproteobacteria; Enterobacterales; Enterobacteriaceae.
ACUGAAUCCAUAGGUUAAUGAGGCGAACCGGGGGAACUGAAACAUCUAAGUACCCCGAGGAAAAGAAAUCAACCGAGAUUCCCCCAGUAGCGGCGAGCGAACGGGGAGGAGCCCAGAGCCUGAAUCAGCAUGUGUGUUAGUGGAAGCGUCUGGAAAGGCGCGCGAUACAGGGUGACAGCCCCGUACACAAAAGCGCAUGUGCUGUGAGCUCGAUGAGUAGGGCGGGACACGUGGUAUCCUGUCUGAAUAUGGGGGGACCAUCCUCCAAGGCUAAAUACUCCUGACUGACCGAUAGUGAACCAGUACCGUGAGGGAAAGGCGAAAAGAACCCCGGCGAGGGGAGUGAAAAAGAACCUGAAACCGUGUACGUACAAGCAGUGGGAGCCCCACCACUAAGCCAGUGGUGAACUCCACAUCCGCAUCCUUUGCUGAGGAUACGGUUAACGGAGCGAAAGCGACGUUCAACCGCAAAACAAGCAGAGGGGGCUUAGUGGUGGGGUGACUGCGUACCUUUUGUAUAAUGGGUCAGCGACUUAUAUUCUGUAGCAAGGUUAACCGAAUAGGGGAGCCGGAGGGAAACCGAGUCUUAAUUGGGCGUUAAGUUGCAGGGUAUAGACCCGAAACCCGGUGAUCUAGCCAUGGGCAGGUUGAAGGUUGGGUAACACUAACUGGAGGACCGAACCGACUAAUGUUGAAAAAUUAGCGGAUGACCUGUGGCUGGGGGUGAAAGGCCAAUCAAACCGGGAGAUAGCUGGUUCUCCCCGAAAGCUAUUUAGGUAGCGCCUCGUGAAUUCAUCUCCGGGGGUAGAGCACUGUUUCGGCUAGGGGGCCAUCCCGGCUUACCAACCCGAUGCAAACUGCGAAUACCGGAGAAUGUUAUCACGGGAGACACACGGCGGGUGCUAACGUCCGUCGUGAAGAGGGAAACAACCCAGACCGCCAGCUAAGGUCCCAAAGUCAUGGUUAAGUGGGAAACGAUGUGGGAAGGCCCAGACAGCCAGGAUGUUGGCUUAGAAGCAGCCAUCAUUUAAAGAAAGCGUAAUAGCUCACUGGUCGAGUCGGCCUGCGCGGAAGAUGUAACGGGGCUAAACCAUGCACCGAAGCUGCGGCAGCGAACGUAUCACCCAAGACAACUUUACGGAGUUGACGAUUGACGGAGCGAAGCGACGUCAAAGCGUUCAUUAAAGUCGAGUUGGCUUAGGGAUACGUUCGUUGGGUAGGGGAGCGUUCUGUAAGCCUGUGAAGGUGUGUCGUGAGGCAUGCUGGAGGUAUCAGAAGUGCGAAUGCUGACAUAAGUAACGAUAAAGCGGGUGAAAAGCCCGCUCGCCGGAAGACCAAGGGUUCCUGUCCAACGUUAAUCGGGGCAGGGUGAGUCGACCCCUAAGGCGAGGCCGAAAGGCGUAGUCGAUGGGAAACGGGUUAAUAUUCCCGUACUUGGUGUUACUGCGAAGGGGGGACGGAGAAGGCUAUGUUGGCCGGGCGACGGUUGUCCCGGUUUAAGCGUGUAGGUGUGUGUUCCAGGUAAAUCCGGUUCACUUUAACACUGAGGCGUGACGACGAGGCACUACGGUGCUGAAGCAACAAAUGCCCUGCUUCCAGGAAAAGCCUCUAAGCAUCAGGUAACACGAAAUCGUACCCCAAACCGACACAGGUGGUCAGGUAGAGAAUACCAAGGCGCUUGAGAGAACUCGGGUGAAGGAACUAGGCAAAAUGGUGCCGUAACUUCGGGAGAAGGCACGCUGACACGUAGGUGAAGUGAUUUACUCAUGGAGCUGAAGUCAGUCGAAGAUACCAGCUGGCUGCAACUGUUUAUUAAAAACACAGCACUGUGCAAACACGAAAGUGGACGUAUACGGUGUGACGCCUGCCCGGUGCCGGAA